RNAcentral lists this ribosomal RNA (774 nucleotides) under uncultured Neocallimastigales. RNAcentral describes it as "partial large subunit ribosomal RNA". It matches the Rfam family "Eukaryotic large subunit ribosomal RNA", at positions 22 to 639 of the family's 3401-position model. The record is from RNAcentral. Lineage: Eukaryota; Fungi; Neocallimastigomycota; Neocallimastigomycetes; Neocallimastigales.
AUAUCAGUCAUGCAUAGCAUAUCAAUAAGCGGAGGAAAAGAAACUAACAAGGAUUCCCCUAGUAACGGCGAGUGAAGCGGGAAGAGCUCAAAUUUGAAAUCUUAAAGGGUUUCCCUUUACGAAUUGUAGUUUAAAGAAGUGUUUUCUGUUGAGGUUUUGGUAAAAGUUCUUUGGAAUAGGACAUCAUAGAGGGUGAGAAUCCCGUAUUUGACCUUUACUUUCAACUUUGUGAUACACUUUCAAAGAGUCGGAUUGUUUGGGAAUGCAGUCCAAAAUGGGUGGUAAAUUUCAUCUAAAGCUAAAUAUUGGCGAGAGACCGAUAGCGAACAAGUACCGUGAGGGAAAGAUGAAAAGAACUUUGAAAAGAGAGUUAAACAGUACGUGAAAUUGUCAAAAGGGAAGCGUUUGACACCAGUGUUGUUUUUCUGAAAAUCAAUUAAAGAACUGUUUAUGCUAAGUUGUUUAGACUUUAUCAGCUAACUGUUUAGUUUUGAGCUUUUCUUUAAUGCACUUUUCAGUUAACAAGUCAACAUCAAUUUCUUUUGCUGUAAAAAAGCUUGAGGAAGGUGGCUUGAGAUUCGUCUUAAGUGUUUAUAGCCUCUUGCCUAUGCAGUCGGAGAGAUUGAGGUCUGCAGCGUAGAUCCUUCGGGGCUAAAUGCAUUUGUGCUAAGUUAUAGCAUUUUAUAGACAACUUGUUGACUAUGAUUUGUCUUGUAGCUUACUCGCUUAUGUUAUUUUACCUACGCUUAGGAUGUUGACGCGCGUGUGUGCGUG